RNAcentral lists this ribosomal RNA (254 nucleotides) under uncultured bacterium. Its description in RNAcentral is "partial 16S ribosomal RNA". It matches the Rfam family "Bacterial small subunit ribosomal RNA", at positions 524 to 776 of the family's 1533-position model. The record is from RNAcentral.
CACGUAGGGGGCAAGCGUUGUCCGGAUUUAUUGGGCGUAAAGAGCUCGUAGGCGGUUCGGUAAGUCGGGUGUGAAACCUCCAGGCUCAACCUGGAGACGCCACCCGAUACUGCUGUGACUAGAGUCCGGUAGGGGAGCGUGGAAUUCCUGGUGUAGCGGUGAAAUGCGCAGAUAUCAGGAGGAACACCAGCGGCGAAGGCGGCGCUCUGGGCCGGAACCGACGCUGAGGAGCGAAAGCGUGGGGAGCAAACAGG